CUAAGUUUGAUGGCGACCGGCGCACGGGUGAGUAACACGUAUCCAACCUGCCGAUGACUCGGGGAUAGCCUUUCGAAAGAAAGAUUAAUACCCGAUGGCAUAGUUCUUCCGCAUGGUAGAACUAUUAAAGAAUUUCGGUCAUCGACGGGGAUGCGUUCCAUUAGGUUGUUGGCGGGGUAACGGCCCACCAAGCCUUCGAUGGAUAGGGGUUCUGAGAGGAAGGUCCCCCACAUUGGAACUGAGACACGGUCCAA
RNAcentral lists this ribosomal RNA (254 nucleotides) under uncultured bacterium. RNAcentral describes it as "partial 16S ribosomal RNA". It matches the Rfam family "Bacterial small subunit ribosomal RNA", at positions 79 to 334 of the family's 1533-position model. The record is from RNAcentral.